GUGGUUUAAUUUCGAUGAUACGCGAGAAACCUUACCAGGGCUUGACAUAUACAGGAAUGUUGUAGAGAUACAGCAGCCGCUUGCGGUCUGUAUACAGGUGCUGCAUGGCUGUCGUCAGCUCGUGCUGUGAAGUGUUGGGUUAAGUCCCGCAACGAGCGCAACCCUGCUAUCUGUUGCCAGCAAGUAAUGUUGGGGACUCAGAUGGAACUGCCGGUGACAAACCGGAGGAAGGUGGGGACGACGUCAAGUCAUCAUGGCCCUUAUGUCCUGGGCUACACACGUGCUACAAUGGCCGGUACAGAGCGCAGCGAAGCCGCGAGGUGGAGCGAAUCGCAAAAAGCCGGUCUCAGUACGGAUUGGAGUCUGAAACCCGACUCCAUGAAGUUGGAAUCGCUAGUAAUCGCGCAUCAGCAUGGCGCGGUGAAUCCGUUCCCGGGCCUU
This 441-nucleotide ribosomal RNA is filed under the name uncultured Spirochaeta sp. RNAcentral's name for it is "bacterial SSU rRNA". It matches the Rfam family "Bacterial small subunit ribosomal RNA", at positions 941 to 1382 of the family's 1533-position model. The record is from RNAcentral. Lineage: Bacteria; Pseudomonadati; Spirochaetota; Spirochaetia; Spirochaetales; Spirochaetaceae.